GCCAGUGUGGUGCAGUGGUCUGAAUGUUUGAUUAUGACUCUGAAGAUCAGGGUUCAAAUCCCUGUUGGCU
RNAcentral lists this transfer RNA (70 nucleotides) under Phrynosoma platyrhinos (Desert horned lizard). RNAcentral's name for it is "tRNA-OTHER". It matches the Rfam family "tRNA". Rfam says of the family: Transfer RNA (tRNA) molecules are approximately 80 nucleotides in length. Their secondary structure includes four short double-helical elements and three loops (D, anti-codon, and T loops). The record is from RNAcentral. Lineage: Eukaryota; Metazoa; Chordata; Lepidosauria; Squamata; Phrynosomatidae.